GGACUACUCGGGUUUCUAAUCCUGUUUGAUCCCCACGCUGUCGUGCAUGAGCGUCAGUCGCGAGCUAGCCAGCUGCCUUCGCAAUAGGAGUUCUGCGCGAUAUCUAAGCAUUUCACCGCUACACCGCGCAUUCCGCCAGCCUCGCUCGGACUCAAGCUCGCCAGUAUCAACGGCACUGUCCCGGUUGAGCCGGAAAAUUUCACCGCUGACUUAGCAAGCCGCCUGCGCACCCUUUAAACCCAAUAAAUCCGGAUAACGCUCGCACCCUCCGUAUUACCGCGGCUGCUGGCAC
Molecule: ribosomal RNA, 292 nt
Filed under: uncultured Bacteroidota bacterium
Lineage: Bacteria; Pseudomonadati; Bacteroidota
Description: uncultured Bacteroidetes bacterium partial 16S ribosomal RNA
Source: RNAcentral